Molecule: ribosomal RNA, 519 nt
Filed under: fungal sp. GZ-2010b
Lineage: Eukaryota; Fungi
Description: eukaryotic LSU rRNA
Rfam family: 5.8S ribosomal RNA (bases 204-357)
Source: RNAcentral
UGGAAGUAAAAGUCGUAACAAGGUCUCCGUUGGUGAACCAGCGGAGGGAUCAUUACCGAGUUUACAACUCCCAAACCCCUGUGAACAUACCACUUGUUGCCUCGGCGGAUCAGCCCGCUCCCGGUAAAACGGGACGGCCCGCCAGAGGACCCCUAAACUCUGUUUCUAUAUGUAACUUCUGAGUAAAACCAUAAAUAAAUCAAAACUUUCAACAACGGAUCUCUUGGUUCUGGCAUCGAUGAAGAACGCAGCAAAAUGCGAUAAGUAAUGUGAAUUGCAGAAUUCAGUGAAUCAUCGAAUCUUUGAACGCACAUUGCGCCCGCCAGUAUUCUGGCGGGCAUGCCUGUUCGAGCGUCAUUUCAACCCUCAAGCACAGCUUGGUGUUGGGACUCGCGUUAAUUCGCGUUCCCCAAAUUGAUUGGCGGUCACGUCGAGCUUCCAUAGCGUAGUAGUAAAACCCUCGUUACUGGUAAUCGUCGCGGCCACGCCGUUAAACCCCAACUUCUGAAUGUGACCUCG